ACUCAUGCACUUUUGUAUGCAAAAUUUGUUUCAUACACAAGGAAUGUAACUCUUAUUCAUUGAUUGGAUCUGUUGGCUCUAAUUGUCUCUCUUUUAGUGCGGAGUAUAUUUCAUGGAGAUUACUCAAUUGGCAAGACAAAAAUAUUAAGAUUCAUUGUAAAGGAAACUGACCAUCUCCUUAAUGAUAGAUAUAGUUCUCAUCUUCCAUAGUUUUUCUUUUUCUAUGUAGAGCCAUUAACAAUUGGAUUUUUUCGAAAAAAAAUUGGAGCAAUCAUAUACAACUUCCAGGCUGCCGGCUCAAUGGUUGGUUGUCUCACUUUCCUGUGUAUGUUUUGGAUGUUCUCUAUAUACUACUACUCGAAAUUUCAGGUAAAAUUAUAGCUCUCUUCCAUUCAUCAAACUACUGUUAUGAAUAAACACUUGAAUAUGUAUGCAUUUUUCAAUAGAACUAUGUGUACUAUCACCGAGUUUUUUACAUUGUCUUCUCACAAAUCUGAAAAUAAAUGUUUAUCUUAUCAUUUUGUGUGCUUUCAUAGUUUGUGAAACGGAAUGAAUGAAGUCUUCUGGUUAAAUAUUUGCAAUACAUACCUUUUCUAGAUGCUUGUGACCAUGGAGUGAGUGUGUUGUAACUUAAAAAUGCAGCUCUUUUGAUAUCAAUUCAGUAAUGAUUCUUCCUAACAUUUUUGCUCAUUGAUAAAUCUUUUUCGUAACCCUUGGCUUAGAUUUGGAUGGUGGCUUAUCCCCCACUUUAGAUUUGGAUGGUCUCCUUUGGUACUUUACUGUAAGAAACAAAAAUAAAAUUUCUCUUGACUCAGCCUGAAAUUUUUUCUCAUUACUGUGUGGAUAUGACUGAUACCGAUAAUCUUGGCAAUCACGAUGGUGGUAGAAGGGUCAACCUCAGAUGCUUUGAGGGUUAGGGCGACUCGAAUCAUGGGCCCGGGAUAACCAAAUAUCAUAGAGAUUGUUAGUUAUCCCACUAGUUUAACUGAGAUCCAUGCCAACGAAUUGACAUAAUACGUUUUGUAAAUUUCCCCAUUGGAAUCCUAGAUCGUCUCUCCCAUGUCCUUUUCCUUUAUGGAUAUAUGGGUGCAUGAUUUCUCCGGCAGGUAUUUGGUGAUAUUCUGGUGCUCCCUCCCUGGGUUGAGGAUUGCUAUUUUUUGCUUUUUUAUUUGAUGGGUUGAUAAUGAUUUGUGCUGUAAUUCUGAGCAUUAACAUGGAGUGUAUAGCAAAGAACGACCAUUCUAAAUGGUCGAAAAGUAGGUAGUAGAAGGAAGAUGCAAAGACAACAAGUUAGAAAAAGAACUUCCCCGCUAUGUGGUCUGAUAAGGCUUUUACCAUGAACUACUGUGUCACCUGAGAUUUGAAGACACUUCGGAGGGUAUUUAACGAGUGUUUUUGAGAUUCCGUAUGACAUCUCAGCUGUUCAAUUAGCUUCCGUUGAAGGGGCUGGUCGCAUGAACGUUAUGUGGCUGCUUGGAAAAUUCAACGUUCAUUGGUCUUGCAUUUUGGAGACAGCUAGAUUUAUCAUCAUGGCGUAGAAGAGUAAGACAGUUUGGAAUAUAUAUAUAUAUAUCCUAGGGUGUGCAUUUUUUCAUAUUGACCCUGUACAUUUCAUUAGUUUGCUUUUACAUGGAACCUCAAAGUCUAGGACACAUUUCUUUGUCCUGUAAUUUCCAAUGUCCAGCCGACACCUAGGAAACAUCAUUUACCUUCUAACACGUGGAUUGUGAUGAAAGUGGACACAAUUAAAAUAAAGAAAACGGUUUGAUGUUUAUCUUAUCAGACCCACGUCUCUGUUUGUGAAACCUCUUUGAAAUUGCAUCUGUUUUCCCUGGCCUUUUCACAAUUUCCAUCCUAACUAUUUGAUUACCUUCUUCUCUUCAAUGAUUUGAGUGCCGGUGGCUUCCCACGUGUGAGGCUUAAGCUGCGAGCAAAUACCUUUCUUAUGAACGAGGACUUUGAAUAGGUUUAAACACCAGGAUGAGGCCUAUUUAUUUAAUUAAUGGGCAAGUGGAAGAGUGACAUUUUAAAUUGCAUCGGAUGCCUGCCAUGCUUGCUUGCUGUGCCAUCCUUCCCUUGAUGUUAUGGGUGAAUGACCAAUCCACCAAGUACUGACCUUUGCAUCAUUUUAACCCUUCUUCCUUAAUCUAUGUAAUUAAACUCCCUACAUUUUUUACUAGAUGGUUUGGUAAGUAUAUUUACUGCAGUAUUUGCAGGUGAAAGAGAUUGGCAAUGUCAGUUUUCAGUGAUUAUUGCAACAGGCUCUUUUUCAUUCCUUUUUUUUUUUUUUUUUUCUUUUGUAAUUAUUUAAAAAGUCUUAGCUGAUAGGUGGGAUUGAUUAGCACAUUUUUCCGCUGUUUGAUUAUUGACAAAAGUUGCAACCAGUUUUCUUCUUUCUUUGACACAUUCAUUUUCAUUCAAUUUCAUCUUCUUUCUACUCAUUUUGAGAAGAAAAUUGCCAACUGACAAAGAUGCCCACUUAUAAUGGUGGGUUAGGAGAAAGGCAAUCUUGGUUCCCUCUUGGUUUAGCUUGAUAAUUAUAUCUACCGCUGUUGGUGAAAAAAAAAAAAAA
This is a long non-coding RNA of Cucumis sativus (cucumber), 2572 nucleotides long. RefSeq lists it as uncharacterized. NCBI's taxonomy places the organism in Eukaryota, Viridiplantae, Streptophyta, Magnoliopsida, Cucurbitales, Cucurbitaceae. The record is from RefSeq and is a predicted model, not a curated record. The transcript is spliced from 3 exons.